This 30-nucleotide non-coding RNA is filed under the name Rattus norvegicus (Norway rat). Lineage: Eukaryota; Metazoa; Chordata; Mammalia; Rodentia; Muridae. The record is from RNAcentral.
UAGAAACCAAAAAUCAAAAUAUAUGUGCCU